RNAcentral lists this ribosomal RNA (720 nucleotides) under uncultured Actinomycetes bacterium. Its description in RNAcentral is "bacterial SSU rRNA". It matches the Rfam family "Bacterial small subunit ribosomal RNA", at positions 51 to 772 of the family's 1533-position model. The record is from RNAcentral. Lineage: Bacteria; Bacillati; Actinomycetota; Actinomycetes.
ACACAUGCAAGUGGAGCGACGAACGGGGCUUGCCCCGGGGCAGAGCCGCGAACGGGUGAGUAACACGUGGGUUACCUGCCCCAAUGACCGGGACAACCCGAGGAAACUCGGGCUAAUACCGGAUGUGGUCUUCGGACGAAAGGAAGCUUCGGCCUCCGCAUUGGGAUGGGCCCGCGGCGCAUUAGCUUGUUGGUGGGGUAACGGCCUACCAAGGCGACGAUGCGUAGCUGGUCUGAGAGGACGAUCAGCCACACUGGGACUGAGACACGGCCCAGACUCCUACGGGAGGCAGCAGUGGGGAAUCUUGCGCAAUGCGCGAAAGCGUGACGCAGCAACGCCGCGUGGGGGAAGAAGGCCUUCGGGUUGUAAACCUCUUUCAGUUGGGACGAAGCUUCGCGGGUUAAUAGCCUGCCGGAGUGACGGUACCUUCAGAAGAAGCCCCGGCUAACUACGUGCCAGCAGCCGCGGUAAUACGUAGGGGGCAAGCGUUGUCCGGAAUCAUUGGGCGUAAAGAGCGUGUAGGCGGCCCGAUAAGUCCGCUGUGAAAGUCCAGGGCUCAACCCUGGAAUGCCGGUGGAUACUGUCGGGCUCGAAUCCGGAAGAGGUGAGUGGAAUUCCUGGUGUAGCGGUGAAAUGCGCAGAUAUCAGGAGGAACACCAAUGGCGAAGGCAGCUCACUGGGACGGUAUUGACGCUGAGACGCGAAAGCGUGGGGAGCAAA